This 328-nucleotide ribosomal RNA is filed under the name uncultured eukaryote. Its description in RNAcentral is "partial 18S ribosomal RNA". It matches the Rfam family "Eukaryotic small subunit ribosomal RNA", at positions 1470 to 1796 of the family's 1831-position model. The record is from RNAcentral.
CCCUUAGAUGUCCUGGGCCGCACGCGCGCUACACUGAUGCAUGCAACGAGUUUAUAACCUUGGCCUGAAAGGUCUGGGUAAUCUUUUGAACGUGCAUCGUGAUAGGGAUAGAUUAUUGCAAUUGUUAAUCUUGAACGAGGAAUUCCUAGUAAACGCGAGUCAUCAGCUCGCAUUGAUUACGUCCCUGCCCUUUGUACACACCGCCCGCCGCACCUACCGAUUGAAUGGUUCGGUGAAGAUCUCGGACUUCGAUAUUUAUUCUUUAUUGAGUUUAUAUUGUGGGAAGUUAUCUAAACCUCAUCAUUUAGAGGAAGGUGAAGUCGUAACA